AGCGAACGCUGGCGGCAGGCCUAACACAUGCAAGUCGAACGAACCUUUCGGGGUUAGUGGCGGACGGGUGAGUAACACGUGGGAACGUGCCUUUAGGUUCGGAAUAACUCAGGGAAACUUGUGCUAAUACCGAAUGUGCCCUUCGGGGGAAAGAUUUAUCGCCUUUAGAGCGGCCCGCGUCUGAUUAGCUAGUUGGUUGAGGUAAUGGCUCACCAAGGCGACGAUCAGUAGCUGGUCUGAGAGGAUGAUCAGCCACAUUGGGACUGAGACACGGCCCAAACUCCUACGGGAGGCAGCAGUGGGGAAUCUUGCGCAAUGAGCGAAAGCCUGACGCAGCCAUGCCGCGUGAAUGAUGAAGGUCUUAGGAUUGUAAAAUUCUUUCACCGGGGACGAUAAUGACGGUACCCGGAGAAGAAGCCCCGGCUAACUUCGU
RNAcentral lists this ribosomal RNA (433 nucleotides) under uncultured bacterium. RNAcentral's name for it is "partial 16S ribosomal RNA". It matches the Rfam family "Bacterial small subunit ribosomal RNA", at positions 29 to 506 of the family's 1533-position model. The record is from RNAcentral.